Podarcis lilfordi (Lilford's wall lizard) is the source of this 67-nucleotide non-coding RNA. The record is from the annotation of a GenBank genome assembly. Lineage: Eukaryota; Metazoa; Chordata; Lepidosauria; Squamata; Lacertidae.
UGUGGCUCAGAGGUAAAGCACUUGCUUUUCAGGCAGAAGGUUCCAGGUUCAAUCCCUGGCAUCACAA